Molecule: long non-coding RNA, 876 nt
Filed under: Panax ginseng (ginseng)
Lineage: Eukaryota; Viridiplantae; Streptophyta; Magnoliopsida; Apiales; Araliaceae
Description: long non-coding RNA (PGIN_LNC018572)
Source: RNAcentral
UUAGUACUAAUUCUUAAACAUUCAAACACUUGUGUCCACACCUUCACCCACAGGCAUUAAAGAUAUGGCUUUAUCGGCUUUUAUUUUGGCUGUUUGUUUAGCAAUUCUUGUUGUUACUAGUGCUGCUGCUAAUGAGGGUAUGCCGGAUAACAUGCCUGGCAUGACCCCUGCCCCUGCCCCGAAAGCUUCUGGAAGCACCCUCGCUUCUUUUCCAUCGGCAUAUUUAGCCAAGGUCCUUGCUUCAGUUGUUUCAUUUAUGAUUUUUAAGUGAAGGGCUUAAGUUUUCUUCUCUUUGUAUGUGUUGGUACAUCUUGUUCUGCUUUUGGGGUGGGUCUUUCAUAGGCUGUGUGUUUUUUGGUUCAUUUUUCUCUCCCUAUAUGCUGGUUCAUUUAUAUGUGUUAUGUUAACGUCAAGAUCUUUCUCCACGUCCCAAUCACGAAAGACGUCCUGAUCCUGCACAGUAAAUACGACAAACACCACAAGCUUGACGGCCGGACCGCCGGGGGAUAGCUCAGGCGUAAGAGUAAGUAUAUGUGUUCACAAGGUUAACUCAAGAGGAUGAUAAAAUCUAGUGUAAUGAGAGAGAUAAUAAUUCUUAGUUGUGUGUCUGUGUAUAUAUCAAAAACAUACCUCCUUGUGAAGACUUACUCGUUAGGAUAUAAUAUCUUUGUCUGGAUUACUGUGUCACCCACUACCAUCUGACAUAUCCCCCUGAUCUGAUGGGUUCUGCCGACUGCAUGGAGUCUAUCCACUGCUUUUGGCCACUGUUUUCUACCGCCGGCCGGCUAUAAUCUCAUCCACAUUAAUGCAUGGCAUAUAUCUCGGUCAACUGUCAUGCUAUAUCAUCAUUACAAGUCAAAGUAAUAGAUAUUAAAU